This 62-nucleotide transfer RNA is filed under the name Vorticeros sp. n. MW-2019. RNAcentral describes it as "tRNA-Met". The record is from RNAcentral. Lineage: Eukaryota; Metazoa; Platyhelminthes; Prolecithophora; Plagiostomidae.
AAAAAAGUAAGUUAAUAAAACUACAGGAUUCAUAUUCCUACAUUGACUUUUGUCCUUUUUUA